UACGUAGGGGGCGAGCGUUGUCCGGAAUCAUUGGGCGUAAAGGGCGCGUAGGUGGCCCGGUCAGUUCGUGGUGAAAGCGCGGGGCUCAACCCUGCGUCGGCCAUGAAUACUGCCGCGGCUGGAGCACUGUAGAGGCAGGCGGAAUUCCGGGUGUAGCGGUGGAAUGCGUAGAGAUCCGGAAGAACACCGGUGGCGAAGGCGGCGACCUGGUCCGAUACUGACGCUGAGGUGCGAAAGCGUGGGGAGCAAACAGG
RNAcentral lists this ribosomal RNA (254 nucleotides) under uncultured bacterium. Its description in RNAcentral is "partial 16S ribosomal RNA". It matches the Rfam family "Bacterial small subunit ribosomal RNA", at positions 524 to 776 of the family's 1533-position model. The record is from RNAcentral.